RNAcentral lists this long non-coding RNA (606 nucleotides) under Salmo salar (Atlantic salmon). RNAcentral describes it as "lncRNA (ENSSSAG00000087332.1)". Lineage: Eukaryota; Metazoa; Chordata; Actinopteri; Salmoniformes; Salmonidae. The record is from RNAcentral.
CUGCCAACUGAAGCGUUUCACAACCAUGACAUGUUGUCACUUUGGUUUCAGAUAUUUCCUGCUAGCUAGCCUUGCCGCUAUCUUCCUCAUUUUAGCUUCCUCUUUGUGUCAAGGCUUAGUUAUUAACGAUCAGAUGUUUUGUCAGAUGCACAGUAUCAUCAGCGUCUCUGUCCCUGUUUGGUCAAAGGAGAGAACUCGACGAAGGAAUCAUUGGGGCAUGCACUAUACAUCCACCUUUUCAACUAGAGGUCCGAUCACAAAGGUGGUAAGAGUAGGCAACAAGACGUCGCCACACUGAUCCUUAACACUGGGGCCCCUCAGGGGUGUGUACUUAGUCCGCCCCUGUACUCCCUGUUCACCCACAACUGCGUGGCCUAACAAGACUCAAACACCGCCAUUAAGUUUGCUGACGACACAACAGCGGUAGGUCUGAUCACCGACAACGAUGAGACGGCCUAUAGGGAGGAGGUCAGAGAACUGGCAGUGUGGUGCCAGGACAACUACCUCUCCCUCAAUGUGAUCAAGACAAAGGAGCUGAUCGUGGACUACAGGAAAAGGCAGGCUGAACACGCCUCCAUUCUCAUCAACGGGGUUGUAGUGGAGAGG